RNAcentral lists this ribosomal RNA (497 nucleotides) under uncultured bacterium. Its description in RNAcentral is "partial 16S ribosomal RNA". It matches the Rfam family "Bacterial small subunit ribosomal RNA", at positions 28 to 507 of the family's 1533-position model. The record is from RNAcentral.
GAUGAACGCUGGCGGCGUGCCUAAUACAUGCAAGUCGAGCGAACAGACGAGGAGCUUGCUCCUCUGACGUUAGCGGCGGACGGGUGAGUAACACGUGGAUAACCUACCUAUAAGACUGGGAUAACUUCGGGAAACCGGUGCUACUACCGGAUAAUAUAUUGAACCGCAUGGUUCAAUAGUGAAAGACGGUUUUGCUGUCACUUAUAGAUGGAUCCGCGCCGCAUUAGCUAGUUGGUAAGGUAACGGCUUACCAAGGCAACGAUGCGUAGCCGACCUGAGAGGGUGAUCGGCCACACUGGAACUGAGACACGGUCCAGACUCCUACGGGAGGCAGCAGUAGGGAAUCUUCCGCAAUGGGCGAAAGCCUGACGGAGCAACGCCGCGUGAGUGAUGAAGGUCUUCGGAUCGUAAAACUCUGUUAUUAGGAAAGAACAAAUGUGUAAGUAACUAUGCACGUCUUGACGGUACCUAAUCAGAAAGCCACGGCUAACUACGUG